UCCAGCCGGCACCGAGGGGUUCUCGGGGAGAACCUCGGCCUCAGACCGUCAGGGGCUCGAGGCGAGAUCCCUGGGGUGAGUAAAGGCAUAGUUUAAAUUGUUUAUCUUGGGGUUAUUGACAAGGGGUACGAAUCCCCUCACAGAGUUACUGGUGAGGGGAUUGAGUCACCCAGCAGGGUUCAAGUCCCUGGGAAAGCUCACCGUCUGGGGCUUCGAGUCCCCCAGGACUACUGGGCUUCCAGUCCCUCAGGACUAGGGGGUUCCAGUUCCCUCCGAGGGGUUCCCCUGGAGCAGGAAACUUAAAGCACUAUUGUAGCUGGCCGAGGAGAAAAAAAACAGGCUCGUAACACUGGAGCCAAAACAUUGCUGUACCCGCUUUUGUGGUGGAGUUCUCUUAGAUACUCUGAAUUCUUUUUGGUCUCUGGCGGUGUGCGUGUGAGCGGGUUAUGUGUUGAUUUCAGUUUGCCGGCCUCUAAAAUCAACACUGGGACGCCUGUGAAUAAAGCUCGUUAACUGGAAGAGUGUUGAAACGUAACUGACUGUUGGGUUUUCGAAGCAGUCGGGGGGUGUGUGCUAUCGAUUAUUGAUUUGUUUUCUGUGUGCGCCGCUGAAAUCGCAUUUGUGGACGCGAAGCGCCCUCUCGUGUCAGUGCGCGCCGCAUUCCCGGCCCGCGUGGGAGCGGGCGGGCGGGCAGGGGCACCCCCAGUUGCAGCUCCCCCGUUCCCCCGCCGGCAUCUUAGCUCGGGGAGGAGGAGGAGAAGAGAACAAGCCCAACAGACUCGCAGCACAACAGCCCUGCCCUGGCCCGGCGGGUUCUUGCCUGCUCCAGCGCCUGGGUAGUGUCACCCGCCCGCUGCAGCCCAGAACCAGCCGCGGGGACUCCCCGCGCCCAGGGAACACUGGAACCAGACAAUUCUGGAGGAAUACCAGAAACAACAGAAAAUGCAGUAAAACACUCUUGACUUGGACCAGUGGAGCUCCAGGCCAUUCCCAACAAGCUCAGCCUCCUGGGGAUCACACACACAUCCAGAUCUGGGAACCUGAGCCACUUCAGGAGCAGUGGAAAGGACCUUCUCUGGUUCUGUUGACUACAAGACCAGCUGUGAAAGUGAAAGGAAUUAACUCCUGGAUUCAUUGCUCCCAAAUUAAGAGGACUUCUGACUCAGACUGAAUUGUGGAAAACACCAGACCCUUGCAGCAGAAAAUGUUGAAGACAUCUGCAAAUGAGCAGCGAAAUGUAUAGACUAAUAUUCAUGGGAA
Molecule: long non-coding RNA, 1260 nt
Organism: Pyrgilauda ruficollis (rufous-necked snowfinch)
Lineage: Eukaryota; Metazoa; Chordata; Aves; Passeriformes; Passeridae
Exons: 3
Source: RefSeq, a predicted model, not a curated record